UGGGGAAUAUUGGACAAUGGGCGCAAGCCUGAUCCAGCCAUGCCGCGUGAGUGAUGAAGGCCCUAGGGUUGUAAAGCUCUUUCACCGGUGAAGAUAAUGACGGUAACCGGAGAAGAAGCCCCGGCUAACUUCGUGCCAGCAGCCGCGGUAAUACGAAGGGGGCUAGCGUUGUUCGGAUUUACUGGGCGUAAAGCGCACGUAGGCGGACUUUUAAGUCAGGGGUGAAAUCCCAGAGCUCAACUCUGGAACUGCCUUUGAUACUGGAAGUCUUGAGUAUGGUAGAGGUGAGUGGAAUUCCGAGUGUAGAGGUGAAAUUCGUAGAUAUUCGGAGGAACACCAGUGGCGAAGGCGGCUCACUGGACCAUUACUGACGCUGAGGUGCGAAAGCGUGGGGGAGCAAACA
This 403-nucleotide ribosomal RNA is filed under the name uncultured Ochrobactrum sp. RNAcentral's name for it is "bacterial SSU rRNA". It matches the Rfam family "Bacterial small subunit ribosomal RNA", at positions 355 to 774 of the family's 1533-position model. The record is from RNAcentral. Lineage: Bacteria; Pseudomonadati; Pseudomonadota; Alphaproteobacteria; Hyphomicrobiales; Brucellaceae.